Ascosphaera aggregata is the source of this 128-nucleotide non-coding RNA. The record is from the annotation of a GenBank genome assembly. Lineage: Eukaryota; Fungi; Ascomycota; Eurotiomycetes; Onygenales; Ascosphaeraceae.
GGACCAGUGACGCAGUGGUUAGCGUUCCGCUCUUAUAUGAUCCUCAUUCCCUAUAUUCAACUGAGGGAGUGAUAUUCAUGUGCACCCAAGUUAUGCGGGGGUCGUGGGUUCGAAUCCCACUUGGUCUA